This 30-nucleotide non-coding RNA is filed under the name Mus musculus (house mouse). The record is from RNAcentral. Lineage: Eukaryota; Metazoa; Chordata; Mammalia; Rodentia; Muridae.
UAAUAUCAUUAAUUCUGUGCUCCAUUGACA